GCAUGGCUGAAUUCUGUUUUACUGUAUCUGUAGUAAAUUCAGUCAGACACCAUGCAAGAGCACCUUUCUCUCCUAUAUUUUGAAACAGUGAUGAAUGAUGCAGAAUUCAUCAUGGAUUUAAGAGAGGACACAU
Small nucleolar RNA from Astyanax mexicanus (Mexican tetra), 133 nucleotides. NCBI's taxonomy places the organism in Eukaryota, Metazoa, Chordata, Actinopteri, Characiformes, Acestrorhamphidae. The record is from Ensembl.